AUUAUGUUUAAGAUCUGUUAGUGCAUAUUGUGUGUCUCUUCAGAUAAGACUGCAAGCUUCUCUGCCAGACUCCUGCCUGAUAAUUGUUACAUUGCAUCUUUUCUCUGCCUCAGUCUGAUUAUGUGAUGUGUGUGUGAGACAGUGAGACUGUAAUAGAAAAAGCCUCAGUUUGGAGGAGAGGCUAAAUAUGCUUGAGAGAGAGAGACUGAUUGUGAGAGGGCUUGUGUGUGCAUUACAGUUCAAUGGGGGUGGGUAUGGCUCCUGCAGCUGCUGCACCAUGGAGACCCACCAAAUCCCAGUUUGACUCCUCGUUAUUCCAUUGAAGGGUUCCAGCAUACCUUUUGCUUCCCAGAUUCCUCCAAUGUCUACUGAAGAAGUGCCCAGAGUUACUUGUAAGAGUUAUAAAAAUCAAACAUUAAAAUCAUAUCAUAUUGUGAAGCUGCACUGAGUGAUAAAGCACCAACAUGGCAGUUGGAAUUGAAGAUGUCCGGCCGAGUAACAUUUUUUUACUAAAGUGGCAGCAGCUUUCUUCAUAAAAGAGCAUUGUGUUAGAGGAUUCAGAGCCCUUAGAAAGGAGAGAUUUGCCUCUCUAUUAACCGUUGGUAUAUUACAGACACAGCUAUUCUAAACAACUUUCCAAGCUGUCUUCAUCUUUUAUUUUUAUGUUUUUCUGAAUUAUGAGCCUUUCCAUUCUGCCUCUUUUUAACUACCAAUGGAAAUGUUACCUGAUUGUCUGGGUCACUGACCCUGGAGACAAAUAAAUGUGAUGGUGACAGGC
This is a long non-coding RNA of Xenopus laevis (African clawed frog), 778 nucleotides long. RefSeq lists it as uncharacterized. The transcript has 3 exons. The record is from RefSeq and is a predicted model, not a curated record. Lineage: Eukaryota; Metazoa; Chordata; Amphibia; Anura; Pipidae.